This 1569-nucleotide ribosomal RNA is filed under the name Enterococcus sp. QAUEF02. Its description in RNAcentral is "partial 16S ribosomal RNA". The stretch from base 1 to 1299 matches the Rfam family "Bacterial small subunit ribosomal RNA". The record is from RNAcentral. Lineage: Bacteria; Bacillati; Bacillota; Bacilli; Lactobacillales; Enterococcaceae.
CAGGACGAACGCUGGCGGCGUGCCUAAUACAUGCAAGUCGUACGCUUCUUUUUCCACCGGAGCUUGCUCCACCGGAAAAAGAGGAGUGGCGAACGGGUGAGUAACACGUGGGUAACCUGCCCAUCAGAGGGGAUAACACUUGGAAACAGGUGCUAAUACCGUAUAACAAUCGAAACCGCAUGGUUUUGAUUUGAAAGGCGCUUUCGGGUGUCGCUGAUGGAUGGACCCGCGGUGCAUUAGCUAGUUGGUGAGGUAACGGCUCACCAAGGCCACGAUGCAUAGCCGACCUGAGAGGGUGAUCGGCCACAUUGGGACUGAGACACGGCCCAAACUCCUACGGGAGGCAGCAGUAGGGAAUCUUCGGCAAUGGACGAAAGUCUGACCGAGCAACGCCGCGUGAGUGAAGAAGGUUUUCGGAUCGUAAAACUCUGUUGUUAGAGAAGAACAAGGAUGAGAGUAACUGUUCAUCCCUUGACGGUAUCUAACCAGAAAGCCACGGCUAACUACGUGCCAGCAGCCGCGGUAAUACGUAGGUGGCAAGCGUUGUCCGGAUUUAUUGGGCGUAAAGCGAGCGCAGGCGGUUUCUUAAGUCUGAUGUGAAAGCCCCCGGCUCAACCGGGGAGGGUCAUUGGAAACUGGGAGACUUGAGUGCAGAAGAGGAGAGUGGAAUUCCAUGUGUAGCGGUGAAAUGCGUAGAUAUAUGGAGGAACACCAGUGGCGAAGGCGGCUCUCUGGUCUGUAACUGACGCUGAGGCUCGAAAGCGUGGGGAGCAAACAGGAUUAGAUACCCUGCUAGUCCACGCCGUAAACGAUGAUUGUUAAGUGUUGGAGGGUUUCCCCCCUUCACUGCUGCAGCUAAAGCAUUAAUCACUCGCCUGGGGAGUACGUACCUUCAAAGUUGAAACUCAAAGGAAUUGACGGGGGCUCUCACAAGCGGUGGAGCAUGUGCUUUAAUUAAACGCAACUCCUCGAACCAUAUCAGGUCGAGACAUCCUUUGACCACUCUAGAUAUAGAUCAUCAUCCUCCGGAGUAAAGUCACAUGUGGUAGGUGUUUGUCUUCAUCUCGUGUCGAGAAAUGCUGGAUUUCCUGCCGCAACCACCACCCUUCUUAUUGUUUGUUGCCAUCUGUGAGCGCACUCCACUAGCACUACGGCUGAUGACCAAACGGAGGAAGGUAGGGAUGCAAAUCAUCCUACCCGUUACUACCGUCGCUAGCUGCAUGCACGAUACAGCUAGCAGAACGUGUUUGCGCCACGAGGUUAUGCGAUCCGACGCUCUGUACGCAGCUCAGAUCCGUAUUGCAAACUGAUGCUCUGCUGUAUAGUCACUCGUAUCGCGGAUACAUCGGAGAUUCAAGUCUCAUGUUUGCAUUCAUUCUCGCUGUUUCAAAGGCCUUACCCGUUUCACUGGGGACUCUACAUCCCGUUAAAAUCCAGCUGAGGUCGGUUACGCCAAAGAUCAGGACAGGCUUGCAAUUAAUUAUACGCGAGCAGCUGGCCGGUAUUGACCUCGCUUUCUGUUAAAUACAACAAGGGAGAACAGUGCCCACUCCAGGUGUUCUUGAUAGC